Molecule: ribosomal RNA, 629 nt
Filed under: uncultured Hymenochaetales
Lineage: Eukaryota; Fungi; Basidiomycota; Agaricomycetes; Hymenochaetales
Description: eukaryotic LSU rRNA
Rfam family: 5.8S ribosomal RNA (bases 197-352)
Source: RNAcentral
UGCGGAGGAUCAAUAAUGAACGAGGCCCCGCCGCGUCGAAAGGCGCGCGCGGGCGUCCAUUCUUACCCUUAUCACCCUUGUGCACUCUGAUCGCGCGUGCCGAAGCCGACUCUACGAGUCGUUGGAGGCCGCGUGAGAUGGCGUUUUGCCCCAACCUAUGAAGUUGUUUGAUGUGACGAACGUUGGAAAUCUUAACAACUCCUGACGACGGAUCUCUCGGCUCCCACACCGAUGAAGAACGUGGCUAAAUGCGAUAAGUGAUGUGAAUUGCAGAACGCUCAGUGAAUCAUCGAAUCUUUGAACGCACCUUGCGCUCCCCGGUACUCUGGGGAGCAUGCCCGUUUGAGUGUCGUGUGCCUCUUCACCGGAGCCGCCGUGACUUGUUCACCUUGGCUUGCAGGUGGCGGUGGGAUCGUUGGCCGCCUCUUCCGGGGGCGUCGUCGACCUUCCUCAAAUCGAUCAGCGAUGCCCGGUCCCAAAACCUCUGGUAUAAAGUGGGUGUUAACUUUUACUACCUACGCCGUUGGUGGAAGGGUCUCCGUGGAGCCUUUGCUUUCUAACCGUCCUCUUCGGACAACACGCUCUCUCGCUCUGACCUCAAAUCGGGUAGGGUUACCCGCUGAAUUUAA